GUUUCUAAGCUGAUUUAUUUGAUAUAUUUAUAAGAAUGUUUUCUAUGAAACUUUUCGAAUAUAUGUGGUAGCAUGUUACGUAUUUACACCUGUUGCUGCGAUUGCCUUCCUUUUUAUUGGAACUCCGAAUUGCUUCAAGCUACUGCCCCGUUUGGAUUUAAAGCGAGUUGCAAGUUUACAUCGGAGUUCAUAUCGGGUUCUACCCAUGCAGCUCAACUAAGAAAACAAGAUGUUUGAAAGUUCAUAUUCUAUAUAAUCUCUUGAUAGAGGAAGCUACUCGAACUACUUGGCCAAGAUCAAUUCCGUUCGAGUUCGAAUAGCUACUGCGAGAAAUUGCAGAUGGGAGUUGCAAUUUAAUUCUUGGAGUUGCCAAAUGUUUUGUUCAAGUGGGAGCGCAAGACUUCUAUGG
Argiope bruennichi is the source of this 409-nucleotide long non-coding RNA. RefSeq lists it as uncharacterized. The record is from RefSeq and is a predicted model, not a curated record. The transcript is spliced from 3 exons. Lineage: Eukaryota; Metazoa; Arthropoda; Arachnida; Araneae; Araneidae.